CAAGCAUUGGAUGACUUGAAAUAAAUGAAAGCCCAAAGCCCAAACAACACAAAGAGGGCCGGCCACUUUAAGGUGAAGAGGGUGAGAUAUUUAGUCAAGUUGUUGACUAGGUUUCUUUUGUCUAUAUAAGGAACUUUAUAAGAUAUUGUUCAUUAGGGUUUUUGUGUGGUUAAAAACAACAAAGAGGCAAAAGAAUAUCUCUCUAAAAACUUCACAAAGGCCGGCCACCUUGGGGUGAUUUUACUAACAUAUCUUUCACCCUUUGGUUAUUCCUUCAUCCUUCUCACUACACUAGUGGGUGAGGAUCUUUAGAGGUUUCAUACUUUGGAAACUUGAAGAGAACCUAGGAGCACACAUUCUAUCAAAGUGGAGGAGGCAAGGAGGGAAGCUAGGCUCAAGGAGUUCAAGGAACAAAGGGCUUGGAGGUGGUCCAUCCUUGGUCUCAAGUCUAGAUCAAGAGGUAUAAGACUAAACCUUCACUUUGUUCUUUUUCUCUAAAUUUUAUUUGAUGCAUUAUAUAUAAACCUAUGAACCUUGAAGGGGAUUUGCAUGACUAUAGCUUUGAUAAUUUGUUAUAAAUGCUUCCGCUGCUUUCGUAUAUUAAAUUUGAUUUGUAUAUGCAUGAUAGUCAUUUAGAAAUCCCAUAUGAAAACUCAUAAUUUUCCCUUUAACACAUUCCCAUGGUUCAAACAAAUUUGAAACGGCCUUUCACAUAGCUCAAUUAUCGUAGGCUUAGGUUCAUAAUCACCCUUUAAUUAAUUAACACUUUAACUAAUUAAAUUGAAUGCAACAUUUUCAUUUGGUUUUUGUAUCCAUAAAAUUGAUUUGAAUGGAGCUAAAUGAAAUGAAAAUCCAAUUCUCAUUUAAAGAGACAAAACAAUUUUGUUCUCAACCUAAUUUGGGCCAAAAUGCAAUUACCACAACUUUUGGGCCAUAUUGCAAAAACAUAAACUUUUGGGGUCACUUUGUAAAAACACAAAAGUCCACUACUUCAUGUAAUUACAACUAGAACCCAAAAUUUAAACAAUGCAAAAACUUCAUUAAAGGAGCAAAACAAUUUGUCCUUUAGCGUUUUUGGACCUAAACGUAAAAACGUAAACUUUUGGGCCAAAGUGCAAAUACACAAAAGUAUCAAAACUUUAUGUAAUUGCAUAAAAGCCCCAAAAGUACUCCCUUUGAGGGAGUGGCUGGUUAUAGGAAGCAAAGGGAGUGAUGUGUGUGUUGAUUUGUAGUUUUAGACAUAAAGCAUGCAAGUGGUGCAUGACAUGCAAGUGGUGUGUGUGAAAGGAAAUUAAUCCUUUCACACCCACCAAUAUUUCUUACACCUUUUAAAUAAAUAUCUAAUACAUUUAAAUAUAUGAUAAAUCAUAAAACAAAAACUUUAUGAAAUAAAUCAAAACUUUGAAUCAAAACUUUGAAUCAAAACACCAAACUUUUUGUUCUUGGCAAAAAUGUCAAGAACAAUGAAGAACACUCAUGAAAAACUCAAAAAUUUCCAUGAACAUUUUUCACCCAAAAAACAUCCCAAAACCACUCAAACUUUAGGGAAAUAACAUAUAACCAAACUAGGGUACAUAGAGGUUCCAAAAGUCACUUGAAAACACUUUUAACAAGUCAAACAAGAACCCAAAAAUCCACCCUUUGGAUUUGGCCGAAUUUUCCCAAAAACAUGGCACCAAAUUUUAGCUCCAAUAUUCAUGCUCAUAUGAACUACAUCUACAACAUUUGAGAUGGCAAAUUUUCUAACAAAAUUUACAUUCAAAGAAACAAGAAUAAAGCUUGUAACAUAUUACAACUUUUAAAUCAAAACUAUGAACUACAAAACCCAAAAGGAUUCACCAACUACUAGACCUAGGAUCUGAUACCACUUGAAGGAAUAUUUUGUGAAAACAUGUUCAUUUAAGCAACAUCUAUUAGCAUGCAAUUAACAAUUAAAGGCAGAAUCAUGCUAGCAUGCACUUAAAAACAAAACAUUAACCAAGAAAUUCAAAGCCUAGUAGAUUGGUGAACCAAGACUCAACUCAAAUCAAAGUGAGUUGAGAAAUUUAUACCUUUAUAGAUUCCUCUUUGCAUAAGCAAAGGCUAAUCACCCAAAUAGAGGGUCUUCAUUCCUUGCUUCUUAGAUCCAUGGAUUUAGAUGGAAGAAUAGAUUCUCCAAGUUCCCAAAAUUGAGAACCUCUAAGUUUCCACACCAAGGAUGGAUUGAUGAAGAAAUGAGUGACCUAGAGGAAGCAAGAUUGCUAGUUAAUUUCCUCUAGGGUGGCCGGCCUCUUUAGAGAGAAAAGAGAGCUUUGUGUUCUCAUCUUUUCUCCAAAAGAAAACCCUUAAUGAAUUUAGGCUAUAAAGUCCUUUAUAUAGUCCCUUCAAAUAAGUGACCUAAAGAACCAAAAAGCCAUUCUUCUAACAGGGCCGGCCACAAGGGUUUUAUUGGGCUUUUGGGCCUUUGUGAAUUAAGUUGUCAUACAACUUAAGUCAAUGGACUUGACGUUUGAAGCCCAUUGGGCCUUGAGGCCCAAAACUAACCCGUGGUCUUUUAACGAACUUAUUCGUUUGAUUAAUUAACAUAUUAAUUAAUCCUUGCCAUAAAUAAUUAAACCAUUUAAUUAUUCUUACUCAUCUCUGUUGUUUCUUCAAUCUUUACCUUACACGGUGUACGAUCCAUUAGGUUCCUUUUAGCG
Molecule: long non-coding RNA, 2678 nt
Filed under: Malus domestica (apple)
Lineage: Eukaryota; Viridiplantae; Streptophyta; Magnoliopsida; Rosales; Rosaceae
Description: long non-coding RNA (MDOM_LNC011265)
Source: RNAcentral